RNAcentral lists this long non-coding RNA (612 nucleotides) under Apteryx rowi (Okarito brown kiwi). Its description in RNAcentral is "lncRNA (ENSARWG00000004971.1)". The record is from RNAcentral. Lineage: Eukaryota; Metazoa; Chordata; Aves; Apterygiformes; Apterygidae.
CUUUUUUAAACAACUAAGCAAGUGUGAAAUGGUUGGUGGCGGAGGACACGCUUCCUCCAAGGUGUCGGGGUUGAUUGUAUCGAUUGCGUUAUCAGUUUAGGUAGUAUCUGGCCCAGACACUUGAGCCUGUUUUUUAAAAUUCAGCCUUAAAACCUGAAGCCUGGUUAGCUGAACCUGCCUGUACAAGAAGAUUUAAGAAAUACGAUGCAUUAGGUAUUCCAAAAGCUGCUUUGUUGCUUGUACAGCGGACAAUGUUUGCGGCACUUCAUAAUUCUGCUUUUGUUGCUAAAAUAAUAUUGGGCUUCAGUUCUUUUGUGAACUUGACUGCAUCUAGUGAACCAGAACUGCUCUGGGGAGUCGCUGAAGUAGCGAUAAUCUCUGGGCUUUGCCGACGAUCCCAAAAGGAAGGCUUUUGUGAUCCACACAAGCAGGCUUGAAGCAACCCACGUCUUUCUGUAGCUGUAAUCUCAGCUGUGAAUCUGUCGCUUUCCUAGCCGCAUCAGAGGGGCAUUGAAGCUUUGGAGUUCAUAAAUGAAUGGUAUGAGUAGGCAUCUACACACCUCUUGCUUGAUGGCCAUUAUAAAAGCACCUUUAAUAAGGUUCAUGAGACAA